UGGGGAAUUUUGGACAAUGGGGGAAACCCUGAUCCAGCCAUCCCGCGUGUGCGAUGAAGGCCUUCGGGUUGUAAAGCACUUUUGGCAGGAAAGAAACGUCAUGGGUUAAUACCCCGUGAAACUGACGGUUCCUGCAGAAUAAGCACCGGCUAACUACGUGCCAGCAGCCGCGGUAAUACGUAGGGUGCAAGCGUUAAUCGGAAUUACUGGGCGUAAAGCGUGCGCAGGCGGUUCGGAAAGAAAGAUGUGAAAUCCCAGAGCUCAACUUUGGAACUGCAUUUUUAACUACCGGGCUAGAGUGUGUCAGAGGGAGGUGGAAUUCCGCGUGUAGCAGUGAAAUGCGUAGAUAUGCGGAGGAACACCGAUGGCGAAGGCAGCCUCCUGGGAUAACACUGACGCUCAUGCACGAAAGCGUGGGGAGCAAACAGG
RNAcentral lists this ribosomal RNA (429 nucleotides) under Acidobacteriota bacterium. RNAcentral's name for it is "Acidobacteria bacterium partial 16S ribosomal RNA". It matches the Rfam family "Bacterial small subunit ribosomal RNA", at positions 355 to 776 of the family's 1533-position model. Lineage: Bacteria; Pseudomonadati; Acidobacteriota. The record is from RNAcentral.